AAAGGAAUAGACGGGGACCCGCACAAGCAGCGGAGCAUGUGGUUUAAUUCGACGCAACGCGAAGAACCUUACCAAGUCUUGACAUAUUACGGCGGAAUUUAGAGAUAAGUUCCUAUCGCUUCGGCGAACUGUAAUACAGGUGGUGCAUGGUUGUCGUCAGCUCGUGUCGUGAGAUGUUGGGUUAAGUCCCAUAACGAGCGCAACCCCUAUUGUUAGUUACCAUCAUUAAGUUGGGGACUCUAACGAUACUGCCGGUGACAAACCGGAGGAAGGUGGGGACGACGUCAAAUCAUCAUGCCCUUUAUGACUUGGGCUACACACGUGCUACAAUGGCAGGUACACAGAGCAGCUAGACAGUGAUGUCAUGCGAAUCUCAAAAAGCCUGUCCCAGUUCGGAUUGCACUCUGCAACUCGAGUGCAUGAAGUUGGAGUUGCUAGUAAUCGUGGAUCAGAAUGCCGCGGUGAAUGCGUUCCCGGGUCUUGUACACACCGCCCGU
This 497-nucleotide ribosomal RNA is filed under the name uncultured bacterium. RNAcentral's name for it is "bacterial SSU rRNA". It matches the Rfam family "Bacterial small subunit ribosomal RNA", at positions 903 to 1397 of the family's 1533-position model. The record is from RNAcentral.